CCUACGGGUGGCAGCAGUGAGGAAUAUUGGUCAAUGGACGAGAGUCUGAACCAGCCAAGUAGCGUGAAGGAUGACUGCCCUAUGGGUUGUAAACUUCUUUUAUAUGGGAAUAAAAUGUUCCACGUGUGGGAUUUUGUAUGUACCAUAUGAAUAAGGAUCGGCUAACUCCGUGCCAGCAGCCGCGGUAAUACGGAGGAUCCGAGCGUUCUCCGGAUUUAUUGGGUUUAAAGGGAGCGUAUGUGGAUUGUUAAGUCAGUUGUGAAAGUUUGCGGCUCAACCGUAAAAUUGCAGUUGAAACUGGCAGUCUUGAGUACAGUAGAGGUGGGCGGAAUUCGUGGUGUAGCGGUGAAAUGCUUAGAUAUCACGAAGAACUCCGAUUGCGAAGGCAGUUCACUGGACUGCAACUGACACUGAGGCUCGAAAGUGUGGGUAUCAAACAGGAUUAGAUACCCCUGUAGUC
RNAcentral lists this ribosomal RNA (460 nucleotides) under uncultured bacterium. Its description in RNAcentral is "partial 16S ribosomal RNA". It matches the Rfam family "Bacterial small subunit ribosomal RNA", at positions 338 to 795 of the family's 1533-position model. The record is from RNAcentral.